This is a long non-coding RNA of Osmerus eperlanus (European smelt), 832 nucleotides long. RefSeq lists it as uncharacterized. NCBI's taxonomy places the organism in Eukaryota, Metazoa, Chordata, Actinopteri, Osmeriformes, Osmeridae. The transcript is spliced from 3 exons. The record is from RefSeq and is a predicted model, not a curated record.
AGGCAGGGGUGUAUUCCCUUCUGAUCAUCCUGAUCCCAGUAAUCUUUACUAAAGCCCACACAAUAGUGGUGUCCAUAGGAAGCAGUCAUCAGAUCCUUCAGUAGAUCCAGGCAGUCCCAGCUGAUGGAGUCCAUACCCUCAGACAUGUCGCCAUCUUUGUAAAAUCUUGCCAUCAGGUGGCAGUCAAGCACACGUGAACUCAGACCAGGGACUUCUAGAUAUCAUUUGACAAACCUCCAAAUCACCUGUUAUCUGUUGCACAUCGCACGGCACCGGUGCAACAGGUGAGGAACAGGAAAGGACAGCUGCUUUGUCUGUCGGAUGAAGUUGCCUAGAACUUACACAACUCAAGAUGUGCACCCUACUUGCAUACCAACUUUUAAAGAACUAGGCCUACAGUAGAGCCGCCUACAAGACCCAACAUGUUGAUUUGCCCAAAAUGCUAUCUGACUGCACGUCAAAGAAAUCCCCACUAAAGAAAUAUGGCAUGUAUAAAAGUUACUAACAACACAGUGUUUUUGUCAAGGUAAACAUACGUGUUCAAAACGAUUUAUUUUCCCAUACUCUUGCUUUGAACAACACGUGUAACAUAAACAGAAAUGUUAUAGAGACAACUGUUUUACAAUGUCUGAUGAAGGUAAUCCCUGCACUUAAUAGUUUCAAGACAGAUGAUGACUAGCCAUUCAUUGGGAAAUCUAAUGGAAACAUAGACAUACCUGUGUCUGUAUUUUAAUUGACAUUCAAAUGGUUAGGCAUUGUUAGUGUUACACUUUUACUUUUAGUGUUUCACAUUUCUAAGGUGUAAAUAAUGGUUUCCAUGUAAGACGGGGAG